GACGAACGCUGGCGGCGUGCUUAACACAUGCAAGUCGAACGGUAAGGCCCUUCGGGGUACACGAGUGGCGAACGGGUGAGUAACACGUGGGUGAUCUGCCCUGCACUUCGGGAUAAGCCUGGGAAACUGGGUCUAAUACCGGAUAGGACCCUGGGAUGCAUGUCCCGGGGUGGAAAGCUUUUGCGGUGUGGGAUGGGCCCGCGGCCUAUCAGCUUGUUGGUGGGGUGAUGGCCUACCAAGGCGACGACGGGUAGCCGGCCUGAGAGGGUGACCAGCCACACUGGGACUGAGAUACGGCCCAGACUCCUACGGGAGGCAGCAGUGGGGAAUAUUGCACAAUGGGCGCAAGCCUGAUGCAGCGACGCCGCGUGAGGGAUGACGGCCUUCGGGUUGUAAACCUCUUUCAGCACCGACGAAGCGCAAGUGACGGUAGGUGCAGAAGAAGGACCGGCCAACUACGUGCCAGCAGCCGCCGUAA
Molecule: ribosomal RNA, 478 nt
Filed under: uncultured bacterium
Lineage: Bacteria
Description: partial 16S ribosomal RNA
Rfam family: Bacterial small subunit ribosomal RNA
Source: RNAcentral